RNAcentral lists this ribosomal RNA (253 nucleotides) under uncultured bacterium. Its description in RNAcentral is "partial 16S ribosomal RNA". It matches the Rfam family "Bacterial small subunit ribosomal RNA", at positions 524 to 776 of the family's 1533-position model. The record is from RNAcentral.
UACGUAGGGUGCAAGCGUUGAUCGGAAUUACUGGGCGUAAAGCGUGCGCAGGCGGUUGUGUAAGUCUGUCGUGAAAUCCCCGGGCUCAACCUGGGAAUUGCGAUGGAGACUGCACGGCUAGAGUGUGUCAGAGGGGGGUAGAAUUCCACGUGUAGCAGUGAAAUGCGUAGAUAUGUGGAGGAACCCCGAUGGCGAAGGCAGCCCCCUGGGAUAACACUGACGCUCAUGCACGAAAGCGUGGGGAGCAAACAGG